CCCCUAGAUGUUCUGGGCCGCACGCGCGCUACACUGAACAGUUCAUCAAGUCUUAACCUUGGCCGAUAGGUCUGGGUAAUCUUUGAACGCUGUUCGUGAUUGGGAUAGACCUUUGCAAUUAUGGGUCUUCAACGAGGAAUUCCUAGUAAACGCAAGUCAUCAGCUUGCAUUGAUUACGUCCCUGCCCUUUGUACACACCGCCCGUCGCACCUACCGAUUGAAUGGUCCGGUGAAAUCUCGGGACGGCGGCUUGGUCGCUUGCGUCCGACUGCUGAAACUUGAUUAAACCAUAUCAUUUAGAGGAAGGUGAAGUCGUAACA
RNAcentral lists this ribosomal RNA (320 nucleotides) under uncultured eukaryote. Its description in RNAcentral is "partial 18S ribosomal RNA". It matches the Rfam family "Eukaryotic small subunit ribosomal RNA", at positions 1470 to 1796 of the family's 1831-position model. The record is from RNAcentral.